Non-coding RNA from Ricinus communis (castor bean), 107 nucleotides. NCBI's taxonomy places the organism in Eukaryota, Viridiplantae, Streptophyta, Magnoliopsida, Malpighiales, Euphorbiaceae. The record is from Rfam.
AAACCAUAGUGUGGACAGCUCCUCAGUAAAUCCUUGAAACGUUCCCAGCAAUCAUAUAGAGUUUCAUUCUCUUAUUGAAGAAACCUUGCUAUAUCAUUCCUCAACUC